RNAcentral lists this ribosomal RNA (253 nucleotides) under uncultured bacterium. RNAcentral describes it as "partial 16S ribosomal RNA". It matches the Rfam family "Bacterial small subunit ribosomal RNA", at positions 524 to 776 of the family's 1533-position model. The record is from RNAcentral.
UACGUAGGGGGCAAGCGUUGUCCGGAUUUAUUGGGCGUAAAGAGCGUGUAGGCGGCCAGGUAGGUCAGCUGUGAAAACUCGAGGCUCAACCUCGAGACGCCGGUUGAAACCAUCUGGCUAGAGUCCGGAAGAGGAGAGUGGAAUUCCUGGUGUAGCGGUGAAAUGCGCAGAUAUCAGGAAGAACACCCGUGGCUAAGGCGGCUCUCUAGUACGGUACUGACGCUGAGGUGCGAAAGCGUGGGGAGCAAACAGG